This 497-nucleotide ribosomal RNA is filed under the name uncultured bacterium. RNAcentral describes it as "partial 16S ribosomal RNA". It matches the Rfam family "Bacterial small subunit ribosomal RNA", at positions 28 to 507 of the family's 1533-position model. The record is from RNAcentral.
GAUGAACGCUGGCGGCGUGCCUAAUACAUGCAAGUCGAGCGAACAGAUGAGGAGCUUGCUCCUCUGGCGUUAGCGGCGGACGGGUGAGUAACACGUGGAUAACCUACCUAUAAGACUGGGAUAACUUCGGGAAACCGGAGCUAAUACCGGAUAAUAUAUUGAACCGCAUGGUUCAAUAGUGAAAGACGGUUUUGCUGUCACUUAUAGAUGGAUCCGCGCCGCAUUAGCUAGUUGGUAAGGUAACGGCUUACCAAGGCAACGAUGCGUAGCCGAUCUGAGAGGGUGAUCGGCCACACUGGAACUGAGACACGGUCCAGACUCCUACGGGAGGCAGCAGUAGGGAAUCUUCCGCAAUGGGCGAAAGCCUGACGGAGCAACGCCGCGUGAGUGAUGAAGGUCUUCGGAUCGUAAAACUCUGUUAUUAGGGAAGAACAAAUGUGUAAGUAACUAUGCACGUCUUGACGGUACCUAAUCAGAAAGCCACGGCUAACUACGUG